GCUACCGUAGCAUAACCUGGUUUUGCCAAAGACCUAAACCCUUUUUACAGAAGUUCAAAUCUUCUCGCUAGCU
Molecule: transfer RNA, 73 nt
Filed under: Hyloxalus elachyhistus (Loja rocket frog)
Lineage: Eukaryota; Metazoa; Chordata; Amphibia; Anura; Dendrobatidae
Description: tRNA-Leu
Rfam family: tRNA
About the family: Transfer RNA (tRNA) molecules are approximately 80 nucleotides in length. Their secondary structure includes four short double-helical elements and three loops (D, anti-codon, and T loops).
Source: RNAcentral